UGAGAUAAACCAGAGACAGUAGUCCUCCGUGUAGCCACCACACAGCAGAAGCAGCAGCAAGGCAAGCAUCUCCUAUGCUCCCCAGUGGUCAAUAUACCUCAACUCUGAUCUGGAGGGACCACCUCUAGGUGCAAGAAGUGAGUCCCAUUACCCACUCUCUGCUGAGAGUGCU
This is an unclassified non-coding RNA of Gopherus agassizii (Agassiz's desert tortoise), 172 nucleotides long. NCBI's taxonomy places the organism in Eukaryota, Metazoa, Chordata, Testudines, Testudinidae. The record is from Ensembl.